RNAcentral lists this ribosomal RNA (459 nucleotides) under uncultured bacterium. RNAcentral's name for it is "partial 16S ribosomal RNA". It matches the Rfam family "Bacterial small subunit ribosomal RNA", at positions 338 to 795 of the family's 1533-position model. The record is from RNAcentral.
CCUACGGUGGGCAGCAGUAGGGAAUCUUUCACAAUGGGCGAAAGCCUGAUGGAGCAACGCCGCGUGCAGGAUGACGGUCCUAUGGAUUGUAAACCUCUUUUGUCAGGGAGCAAAGGGCGCCACGUGUGGCGUUUUGCGAGUACCUGAAGAAAAAGCAUCGGCUAACUCCGUGCCAGCAGCCGCGGUAAUACGGAGGAUGCGAGCGUUAUCCGGAUUUAUGGGGUUUAAAGGGUGCGCAGGCGGAAUGUCAAGUCAGCGGUAAAAUUUCGGGGCUCAACCCCGUCGUGCCGUUGAAACUGGCGUUCUUGAGUGAGCGAGAAGUAUGCGGAAUGCGUGGUGUAGCGGUGAAAUGCAUAGAUAUCACGCAGAACUCCGAUUGCGAAGGCAGCAUACCGGCGCUCAACUGACGCUCAUGCACGAAAGCGUGGGUAUCGAACAGGAUUAGAUACCCCAGUAGUC